GAUGAACGCUGGCGGCGUGCCUAAUACAUGCAAGUCGAGCGAACGGACGAGGAGCUUGCUUCUCUGAUGUUAGCGGCGGACGGGUGAGUAACACGUGGAUAACCUACCUAUAAGACUGGGAUAACUUCAGGAAACCGGAGCUAAUACCGGAUAAUAUUUUGAACCGCAUGGUUCAAAAGUAAAAGACGGUCUUGCUGUCACUUAUAGAUGGAUCCGCGCUGCAUUAGCUAGUUGGUAAGGUAACGGCUUACCAAGGCAACGAUGCAUAGCCGACCUGAGAGGGUGAUCGGCCACACUGGAACUGAGACACGGUCCAGACUCCUACGGGAGGCAGCAGUAGGGAAUCUUCCGCAAUGGGCGAAAGCCUGACGGAGCAACGCCGCGUGAGUGAUGAAGGUCUUCGGAUCGUAAAACUCUGUUAUUAGGGAAGAACAUAUGUGUAAGUAACUGUGCACAUCUUGACGGUACCUAAUCAGAAAGCCACGGCUAACUACGUG
This 497-nucleotide ribosomal RNA is filed under the name uncultured bacterium. RNAcentral's name for it is "partial 16S ribosomal RNA". It matches the Rfam family "Bacterial small subunit ribosomal RNA", at positions 28 to 507 of the family's 1533-position model. The record is from RNAcentral.